This 1374-nucleotide ribosomal RNA is filed under the name uncultured bacterium. Its description in RNAcentral is "bacterial SSU rRNA". It matches the Rfam family "Bacterial small subunit ribosomal RNA", at positions 18 to 1390 of the family's 1533-position model. The record is from RNAcentral.
CCUGGCUCAGGAUGAACGCUAGCGACAGGCUUAACACAUGCAAGUCGAGGGGCAGCACAGGUAGCAAUACCGGGUGGCGACCGGCGCACGGGUGAGUAACGCGUAUGCAACUUGCCUAUCAGAGGGGGAUAACCCGGCGAAAGUCGGACUAAUACCGCAUGAAGCAGGGAUCCCGCAUGGGAAUAUUUGCUAAAGAUUCAUCGCUGAUAGAUAGGCAUGCGUUCCAUUAGGCAGUUGGCGGGGUAACGGCCCACCAAACCGACGAUGGAUAGGGGUUCUGAGAGGAAGGUCCCCCACAUUGGUACUGAGACACGGACCAAACUCCUACGGGAGGCAGCAGUGAGGAAUAUUGGUCAAUGGCCGAGAGGCUGAACCAGCCAAGUCGCGUGAGGGAUGAAGGUUCUAUGGAUCGUAAACCUCUUUUAUAAGGGAAUAAAGUGCGGGACGUGUCCCGUUUUGUAUGUACCUUAUGAAUAAGGAUCGGCUAACUCCGUGCCAGCAGCCGCGGUAAUACGGAGGAUCCGAGCGUUAUCCGGAUUUAUUGGGUUUAAAGGGUGCGUAGGCGGCCUUUUAAGUCAGCGGUGAAAGUCUGUGGCUCAACCAUAGAAUUGCCGUUGAAACUGGGGGGCUUGAGUAUGUUUGAGGCAGGCGGAAUGCGUGGUGUCGCGGUGAAAUGCAUAGAUAUCACGCAGAACCCCGAUUGCGAAGGCAGCCUGCCAAGCCAUUACUGACGCUGAUGCACGAAAGCGUGGGGAUCAAACAGGAUUAGAUACCCUGGUAGUCCACGCAGUAAACGAUGAUCACUAGCUGUUUGCGAUACACUGUAAGCGGCACAGCGAAAGCGUUAAGUGAUCCACCUGGGGAGUACGCCGGCAACGGUGAAACUCAAAGGAAUUGACGGGGGCCCGCACAAGCGGAGGAACAUGUGGUUUAAUUCGAUGAUACGCGAGGAACCUUACCCGGGUUUGAACGCAUUCGGACCGAGGUGGAAACACCUUUUCUAGCAAUAGCCGUUUGCGAGGUGCUGCAUGGUUGUCGUCAGCUCGUGCCGUGAGGUGUCGGCUUAAGUGCCAUAACGAGCGCAACCCUUGCCACUAGUUACUAACAGGUAAAGCUGAGGACUCUGGUGGGACUGCCAGCGUAAGCUGCGAGGAAGGCGGGGAUGACGUCAAAUCAGCACGGCCCUUACAUCCGGGGCGACACACGUGUUACAAUGGCGUGGACAAAGGGAGGCCACCUGGCGACAGGGAGCGAAUCCCCAAACCACGUCUCAGUUCGGAUCGGAGUCUGCAACCCGACUCCGUGAAGCUGGAUUCGCUAGUAAUCGCGCAUCAGCCAUGGCGCGGUGAAUACGUUCCCGGGCCUUGUACACAC